GAUGAACGCUGGCGGCGUGCCUAAUACAUGCAAGUCGAGCGAACAGACGAGGAGCUUGCUCCUCUGACGUUAGCGGCGGACGGGUGAGUAACACGUGGAUAACCUACCUAUAAGACUGGGAUAACUUCGGGAAACCGGCGCUAAUACCGGAUAAUAUAUUGAACCGCAUGGUUCAAUAGUGAAAGACGGUUUUGCUGUCACUUAUAGAUGGAUCCGCGCCGCAUUAGCUAGUUGGUAAGGUAACGGCUUACCAAGGCAACGCUGCGUAGCCGACCUGAGAGGGGGAUCGGCCACCCUGGAACUGAGCCGCGGUCCAGACUCCUACGGGAGGCAGCAGUAGGGAAUCUUCCGCAAUGGGCGAAAGCUUGACGGAGCAACGCCGCGUGAGUGAUGAAGGUCUUCGGAUCGUAAAACUCUGUUAUUGGGGAAGAACAAAUGUGUAAGUAACUAUGCACGUCUUGACGGUACCUAAUCAGAAAGCCACGGCUAACUACGUG
RNAcentral lists this ribosomal RNA (497 nucleotides) under uncultured bacterium. RNAcentral describes it as "partial 16S ribosomal RNA". It matches the Rfam family "Bacterial small subunit ribosomal RNA", at positions 28 to 507 of the family's 1533-position model. The record is from RNAcentral.